UCCAGACUCCUACGGGAGGCAGCAGUGGGGAAUAUUGGACAAUGGGGGGAACCCUGAUCCAGCGACGCCGCGUGAGUGAAGAAGUAUUUCGGUAUGUAAAGCUCUAUCAGCAGGGAAGAAAGAAAUGACGGUACCUGACUAAGAAGCCCCGGCUAACUACGUGCCAGCAGCCGCGGUAAUACGUAGGGGGCAAGCGUUAUCCGGAUUUACUGGGUGUUAAGGGAGCGUAGACGGCGAUGCAAGUCUGAAGUGAAAGGCGGGGGCCCAACCCCCGGACUGCUUUGGAAACUGUAUAGCUGGAAUGCAGGAGAGGUAAGUGGAAUUCCUAGUGUAGCGGUGAAAUGCGUAGAUAUUAGGAGGAACACCAGUGGCGAAGGCGGCUUACUGGACUGUAACUGACGUUGAGGCUCGAAAGCGUGGGGAGCAAACAGGAUUAGAUACCCCUGUA
Molecule: ribosomal RNA, 448 nt
Filed under: uncultured bacterium
Lineage: Bacteria
Description: bacterial SSU rRNA
Rfam family: Bacterial small subunit ribosomal RNA
Source: RNAcentral